This 285-nucleotide small RNA is filed under the name Pan troglodytes (chimpanzee). RNAcentral's name for it is "processed transcript". Lineage: Eukaryota; Metazoa; Chordata; Mammalia; Primates; Hominidae. The record is from RNAcentral. RNAcentral also lists the same sequence under 1 other name.
CUGCUGGGCGUGGGUCGCUACACCGUGCAAUACCCGGGGUCCUGGUGCUUCCUGACGCUGGGCGCCGAGUCCGGGGACGUGGCCUUCGGGCUGCUCUUCUCCAUGCUGGGCGGCCUCUCGGUCGGGCUGUCCUUCCUGCUGAACACGGUCAGCGUGGCCACCCUGUGCCACGUCUACCACGGGCAGGAGGCGGCCCAGCAGCGUCCCCGGGACUCCGAGGUGGAGAUGAUGGCUCAGCUCCUGGGGAUCAUGGUGGUGGCCAGCGUGUGUUGGCUGCCCCUGCUG